UACGGGGGGAGCAAGCGUUGUUCGGAUUUACUGGGCGUAAAGGGCGCGUAGGCGGCCACCGCAAGUCGACUGUGAAAUCUCCGGGCUUAACCCGGAAAGGUCAGCCGAUACUGCAGGGCUAGAGUGCAGAAGGGGCAACUGGAAUUCUCGGUGUAGCGGUGAAAUGCGUAGAUAUCGAGGGGAACACCUGCGGCGAAGGCGGGUUGCUGGGCUGACACUGACGCUGAGGCGCGAAAGCUAGGGGAGCGAACGGG
RNAcentral lists this ribosomal RNA (254 nucleotides) under uncultured bacterium. RNAcentral describes it as "partial 16S ribosomal RNA". It matches the Rfam family "Bacterial small subunit ribosomal RNA", at positions 524 to 776 of the family's 1533-position model. The record is from RNAcentral.